UGGGGCAUCGCCAAGCGGUAAGGCAGCGGGUUUUGAUCUCGCCAUACCUAGGUUCGAAUCUAGUGCCCCAGCCA
RNAcentral lists this transfer RNA (74 nucleotides) under Aeromonas hydrophila. RNAcentral describes it as "tRNA-Gln". It matches the Rfam family "tRNA". Rfam says of the family: Transfer RNA (tRNA) molecules are approximately 80 nucleotides in length. Their secondary structure includes four short double-helical elements and three loops (D, anti-codon, and T loops). The record is from RNAcentral. Lineage: Bacteria; Pseudomonadati; Pseudomonadota; Gammaproteobacteria; Aeromonadales; Aeromonadaceae.